AUCCUAUGACAUAAACCAGAAAUGAAAAUGAUGAAUUAAAAUGAAGAAACCUGCCCAUUCCUUCUUUUUCUACUUACAACUUCAGUUUACUGUAACUUACCAGAAUGUCAUAUACAAUAUACAAACUUUCAGAAAAAAUGUUACAUACGCUGGGUAAGAUGUAAACUUAAUAUUUUCGAUUAAAAAAUAUCUAUCUUAUCACGACGGACUUUUUUGCUAUUGAAUAAUACCGACGUAAUACCUAAUUAGAAAAGGUUACGAGAAAGUUCAAGUGUCAAAUGCAUUCAUUUUCAUUUGAAUAAAUUUAAAAUACAGAAUGCAGAAAGAAUGUAAUGUUGUGUCAGAUAAUGAAUUCUUUGAGAAAGCAUAUUACAUUGUUAUAAAAGUAAAUUCAUCGUCGACGAUUUCCAUCAUAUUAAAAGGUUGGGUAAUUUUACAUUGAAUUCUAAUUUCUGCAUUAUAUUUUGUGUGGAAAACUGAGAAACAUUAAAACAUCUUUCAAUAUACUAGUGCAAAACAUGGAGAAAAAGUUGUUCUUUUCGGAUUCACUGAUUUCCGGAAUCAAACAAUGUAAUGCCAUUAGAAAAUAAUCCUUAAACUGUAAUCACCAAAGAUAAACUAAAUUAGACCUGAAAGUUAGAUACCAAUUAUACAUAUUUUAUUUGACGAAGUAAGCUAGCUAACAUUAAUUUUUAUCUACCAUUAUAUUUCUUAAAAACAUCUGGAAAUUUCCUGAUGAACCGACAAUGUGAACAAAAUUCAGAAAUUCCAUGCAAUACUUUUUUAAAAUUAAAUGAGCUUAUACCAUGGAUGUUACGUGUAGAAUCAUGCUCGAAUAUACUUAUGCAACUACAGUAGAUGCUGGCUUUACUACAGAAGAUAUUCGUGGAAUAAGCAUAGGUGAAUACAUAAAUAUGUAUUUUAUAUUGAUACCGAGACAUCUUUGCUUUAUGGUAACCUUCAGGUCAAUGGCUUCGAUAUCAAGAGUUGUGGCAUAUAUAUGACCACUUAACUUAUUUCAAAAUAAUGGUUGCGUUUAACUGGACCAUCAUAUAACGUCAAUUCAACGUGUAGUUCUAGCCUUUCCACGAUGAAACAUCGUCCUAUAUGUUUUGUACAAACUGAUUAUGCCGGUAAGAUAUGGUCGGUAGAACAAAUCUUUGUUCCAUCAACGCGCAUUUCUUCAAUUUACUCGUUCAGGUGUGUUGAAUCAGAAUGGUCACUGCAGGGUUUUUGACGAAAAUGCUAAUGAUGACAUGCAUAUUCCUGUAGCAUUUUUACAGAAAGCAAUAACUGUUUAGGAUAUAUAUAUUACAAUUAUUCAUAGGAAUAACAUUUGUGAUGCUUAUAAUAAUGAAAGAAUAUCGCUUUCAUCCAACGAAAUGCAAAAGAAAAGUGAAGUAAUAUAUAAAGUUCCAUCCUAUAGAAUUUGCACAAUGACCAUUUUUUAUAUCAGAUGUACCUGUACGUUUUUUCAAAAUCAAUGAUGUAGUAACAGAUUAUUGGAAAUGCAGAAAGUCACAGCUAUUGUAAUUGUUCGAAAGAGACUUAUAUGUCAUGCAAUUAAUGAAGAAUAUAAAUUCGCUAUUUAUAGCGAUAGAAAAGAAAUAUCAAUACGAAAUAUAUUAAUGUUAUAUAUGCAUGUAUCUUUUGAGAAUAUAUCAAUAAUCAAGUCGAAGACAAUCGAAUUCAUUAAGGAUAAAGAAAAUAGAUGAACAGAAAAACUCAAUUUUCCAAUGCUUUGGGAUAUUCCAGACACUUUGCCUUUGAUAGAAGACAAACUUAAUAUUUUCACAUCCUCGAGCAAAUUAGGCGGUGAAGAUAUUCCUAAAGAUAUUACUAUUUUAGGAUCAAAUAUGACAGAAUCGCGUGAAAUGUAGUUAUCCGUUAUUGAAUAUGGUUUCUUGGCAAAUGGAGAAAAGAACUGCAUAAAACAAAUUUUAAUAUCUAAGAGAUGGUGAUUUCUUUUUAUUUCCUGAUAAAGAGGAGUACAUAAUUGGAUACAUUUAUAUUAUAGGAAUAUUAAUCACGUGUAAUUUUAGAAAAACGGACUUCUAAGGAGUUUUGUAUACAGUUAAAAGAGACAAAUAAAAGUCC
This is a long non-coding RNA of Vespula vulgaris, 2097 nucleotides long. RefSeq lists it as uncharacterized. Lineage: Eukaryota; Metazoa; Arthropoda; Insecta; Hymenoptera; Vespidae. The record is from RefSeq and is a predicted model, not a curated record. The transcript has 3 exons.